Molecule: ribosomal RNA, 563 nt
Filed under: uncultured bacterium
Lineage: Bacteria
Description: bacterial SSU rRNA
Rfam family: Bacterial small subunit ribosomal RNA
Source: RNAcentral
GGAAUAUUGGACAAUGGGGGGAACCCUGAUCCAGCAAUGCCGCGUGUGUGAAGAAGGCCUGAGGGUUGUAAAGCACUUUCGACGGGGAGGAGUGUCAUUAGGUUAAGAGCUGAAUGACAGGACGUUACCCGAAUAAGAAGCACCGGCUAACUCCGUGCCAGCAGCCGCGGUAAUACGGGGGGUGCGAGCGUUAAUCGGAAUUACUGGGCGUAAAGGGUGCGUAGGUGGGCAGAUAAGUUACUUGUGAAAGACCUGGGCUUAACCUGGGGGUGUCAGGUAAUACUGUAUGUCUAGAGUAUAGGAGAGGGUAGUGGAAUUUCCGGAGUAGCGGUGAAAUGCGUAGAUAUCGGAAGGAACACCGGUGGCGAAGGCGGCUACCUGGCCUAAUACUGACACUGAGGCACGAAAGCGUGGGGAGCAAACAGGAUUAGAUACCCUGGUAGUCCACGCUGUAAACGAUGUCAACUAGCUGAUGGCUUGUAGAAGUUAGUAGCGAAGCAAACGCGAUAAGUUGACCGCCUGGGGAGUACGGUCGCAAGAUUAAAACUCAAAGGAAUUGACGG